This is a non-coding RNA of Aedes aegypti (yellow fever mosquito), 76 nucleotides long. Lineage: Eukaryota; Metazoa; Arthropoda; Insecta; Diptera; Culicidae. The record is from Rfam.
UUAGCCGUAGCGGUAAACGCGCAGUUAAUCAGCAAGACCAAGCUGAGGGUCGUGGGUUCAAAUCCCACCGGUCAAG